GAUGAACGCUAGCUACAGGCUUAACACAUGCAAGUCGAGGGGCAGCAUGGUCGAAGCUUGCUUCGACUGAUGGCGACCGGCGCACGGGUGCGUAACGCGUAUCGAACCUGCCCUAUACACGGGGAUAGCCUUGCGAAAGUAAGAUUAAUACCCGAUGCCAAGUUGAGAUCGCAUGAUUUUGAUUUGAAAGAAAUUCGGUAUAGGAUGGCGAUGCGUCUGAUUAGGUAGAUGGCGGGGUAACGGCCCACCAUGCCGACGAUCAGUAGGGGUUCUGAGAGGAAGGUCCCCCACAUUGGAACUGAGACACGGUCCAAACUCCUACGGGAGGCAGCAGUGAGGAAUAUUGGUCAAUGGUCGCGAGACUGAACCAGCCAAGUAGCGUGCAGGAUGACGGCCCUCUGGGUUGUAAACUGCUUUUAGUUGGGAAUAAAAGGCGGUACGUGUACCGCGUAUUGUAUGUACCAUCAGAAAAAGGACCGGCUAAUUCCGUGCCAG
Molecule: ribosomal RNA, 495 nt
Filed under: uncultured bacterium
Lineage: Bacteria
Description: bacterial SSU rRNA
Rfam family: Bacterial small subunit ribosomal RNA
Source: RNAcentral